AACAUUUUAAUAAUUCUUUUUUCAUUUUAUUUUUUCUAAUUUGAAAAAUUCUCUUAGUUAUUUUAUUUAUUUUGUUUAAUAAAUUUUAUUUCCUUGUAUUACGGGUAUUUUUUUUCAUAACAGUAAUAGUGAGGUUGGGCCAUACAUUACUCGUUGUCCCAUCGAAAUUUGUUUUCCAAAUAUUUGGGCCUUUAACUUUUUCACUUUCCC
RNAcentral lists this long non-coding RNA (210 nucleotides) under Gossypium raimondii (Peruvian cotton). Its description in RNAcentral is "long non-coding RNA (GRAI_LNC010351)". Lineage: Eukaryota; Viridiplantae; Streptophyta; Magnoliopsida; Malvales; Malvaceae. The record is from RNAcentral.